GACGAACGCUGGCGGCGUGCCUAAUACAUGCAAGUCGGGCGGACCGAACGAGGGCUUGCUCUUGUUUGGUCAGCGGCGGACGGGUGAGUAACACGUGGGCAACCUGCCCGCAAGACCGGGAUAACUCCGGGAAACCGGAGCUAAUACCGGAUAACACCGAAGACCGCAUGGUCUUCGGUUGAAAGGCGGCCUUUGGGCUGUCACUUGCGGAUGGGCCCGCGGCGCAUUAGCUAGUUGGUGAGGUAACGGCUCACCAAGGCGACGAUGCGUAGCCGGCCUGAGAGGGUGACCGACCACACUGGGACUGAGACACGGCCCAGACUCCUACGGGAGGCAGCAGUAGGGAAUCUUCCGCAAUGGGCGAAAGCCUGACGGAGCGACGCCGCGUGAGCGAAGAAGGCCUUCGGGUCGUAAAGCUCUGUUGUGAGGGACGAAGGAGCGCCGUUCGAAGAGGGCGGCGCGGUGACGGUACCUCACGAGAAAGCCCCGGCUAACUACGUGCCAGCCGCCGCAGUAA
This 517-nucleotide ribosomal RNA is filed under the name uncultured bacterium. RNAcentral describes it as "partial 16S ribosomal RNA". It matches the Rfam family "Bacterial small subunit ribosomal RNA", at positions 28 to 523 of the family's 1533-position model. The record is from RNAcentral.